UGGUGAGGUACACCUGUCGCUCUGGCUUCAUGCUGGUGGGAAACCCGACCAGAUCUUGCCAGUCUAAUGGCCUCUGGACCCCGAAACCUAGCUGCCUCAGAAUGUGUCAGCGGGGACGCAUUGAAAUCAGUGAGAGGGAACUAAAUGGGACAUGCAACUCCACCUGCGCAUACAAGAGCUACUUCGGCCCGCCCAAACAAGGCUGCACUCGCCUAGACAACUGCAAGAAGAAGGAGACCGGCUGGAAACGGUUCUUUGCACAGUGUGUCCCUUGCAUUUGUGACUGCGCUUUAUCGUGUGCAUUUACAGGCUAACACCUGGAGAAAUGUUGACUGUACAGUGAGACAUCAGAUGAAGAAGAAUUACACAGACAGUUUGUACCCCGCAGAGCCACGCUGUGUUUGUACUGCUUCAUCCAAUUGUGUGGACAAAUCAGUGGACCGAAAUCUGGAUGUUUUGAGACAUUAAUGUAAUCUCUCUGCCACACAGAAACCAACAAUUCCAAACAAUUUCUCCUUGGUUUCCAUAUAAAGGAUUUCACACUGUGACAAGAAGAUUUCAGGGCCUGAGAUUCCAACCACUCAGUGAGUCAGUGGUGAAUUAUUAGCAAAGAACUGCUAAAUUCAGUCAAUCUGUGUCACGUAAAGUGGCGGAAAGGUCAGGAAAGAAAAGUGAGGUGAAUUUUAAAACAAGUCUCUGAGAGGCAAACUUGGGUCAAAUAAUUAUUUGAAAUAGUAUUAAAUAUUAUCUAAAAUAAAAAGUUA
RNAcentral lists this long non-coding RNA (764 nucleotides) under Cottoperca gobio. Its description in RNAcentral is "lncRNA (ENSCGOG00000018882.1)". Lineage: Eukaryota; Metazoa; Chordata; Actinopteri; Perciformes; Bovichtidae. The record is from RNAcentral.